RNAcentral lists this ribosomal RNA (473 nucleotides) under uncultured organism. RNAcentral's name for it is "bacterial SSU rRNA". It matches the Rfam family "Bacterial small subunit ribosomal RNA", at positions 28 to 507 of the family's 1533-position model. The record is from RNAcentral.
GACGAACGCUGGCGGCGUGCUUAACACAUGCAAGUCGAGCGGAGAUUGAUCGAAGAGCAAUCAGAGAUUGAUUUUAGCGGCGGACGGGUGAGUAACGCGUGGGCAACCUACCUCACACAGGGGGAUAACACUGGGAAACUAGUGCUAAUACCGCAUAAGAUCAUAGGAGGGCAUCCUGAAGUGAUCAAAGGAGAAAUCCGGUGAGAGAUGGGCCCGCGUCCGAUUAGCUAGUUGGCGGUGUAACGGACCACCAAGGCGACGAUCGGUAGCCGAACUGAGAGGUUGAUCGGCCACAUUGGGACUGAGACACGGCCCAGACUCCUACGGGAGGCAGCAGUGGGGAAUAUUGCGCAAUGGGGGGAACCCUGACGCAGCAACGCCGCGUGAAGGAUGAAGGUUUUCGGAUCGUAAACUUCUUUGAUGAGGGACGAAAGCAGACGGUACCUCAAAAACAAGCCACGGCUAACUACGUG